CGCUAGCUACAGGCUUAACACAUGCAAGUCGAGGGGCAGCAUGGUCUUAGCUUGCUAAGGCCGAUGGCGACCGGCGCACGGGUGAGUAACACGUAUCCAACCUGCCGUCUACUCUUGGACAGCCUUCUGAAAGGAAGAUUAAUACAAGAUGGCAUCAUGAGUCCGCAUGUUCACAUGAUUAAAGGUAUUCCGGUAGACGAUGGGGAUGCGUUCCAUUAGAUAGUAGGCGGGGUAACGGCCCACCUAGUCUUCGAUGGAUAGGGGUUCUGAGAGGAAGGUCCCCCACAUUGGAACUGAGACACGGUCCGAACUCCUACGGGAGGCAGCAGUGAGGAAUAUUGGUCAAUGGGCGAGAGCCUGAACCAGCCAAGUAGCGUGAAGGAUGACUGCCUUAUGGGUUGUAAACUUCUUUUAUAAAGGAAUAAAGUCGGGUAUGGAUACCCGUUUGCAUGUACUUUAUGAAUAAGGAUCGGCUAACUCCGUGCCAGCAGCCGCGGUAAUACGGAGGAUUCGAGCGUUAUCCGGAUUUAUUGGGUUUAAAGGGAGCGUAGAUGGAUGUUUAAGUCAGUUGUGAAAGUUUGCGGCUCAACCGUAAAAUUGCAGUUGAUACUGGAUAUCUUGAGUGCAGUUGAGGCAGGCGGAAUUCGUGGUGUAGCGGUGAAAUGCUUAGAUAUCACGAAGAACUCCGAUUGCGAAGGCAGCCUGCUAAGCUGCAACUGACAUUGAGGCUCGAAAGUGUGGGUAUCAAACAGGAUUAGAUACCCUGGUAGUCCACACGGUAAACGAUGAAUACUCGCUGUUUGCGAUAUACGGCAAGCGGCCAAGCGAAAGCGUUAAGUAUUCCACCUGGGGAGUACGCCGGCAACGGUGAAACUCAAAGGAAUUGACGGGGGCCCGCACAAGCGGAGGAACAUGUGGUUUAAUUCGAUGAUACGCGAGGAACCUUACCCGGGCUUAAAUUGCAGAUGAAUUACGGUGAAAGCCGUAAGCCGCAAGGCAUCUGUGAAGGUGCUGCAUGGUUGUCGUCAGCUCGUGCCGUGAGGUGUCGGCUUAAGUGCCAUAACGAGCGCAACCCUUGUUGUCAGUUACUAACAGGUUCUGCUGAGGACUCUGACAAGACUGCCAUCGUAAGAUGUGAGGAAGGUGGGGAUGACGUCAAAUCAGCACGGCCCUUACGUCCGGGGCUACACACGUGUUACAAUGGGGGGUACAGAGGGCCGCUACCACGCGAGUGGAUGCCAAUCCCAAAAACCUCUCUCAGUUCGGACUGGAGUCUGCAACCCGACUCCACGAAGCUGGAUUCGCUAGUAAUCGCGCAUCAGCCACGGCGCGGUGAAUACGUUCCCGGGCCUUGUACACACCGCCCGUCAAGCCAUGGGAGCCGGGGGUACCUGAAGUGCGUAACCGCGAGGAGCGCCCUAGGGUAAAACUGGUGACUGGGGC
This 1443-nucleotide ribosomal RNA is filed under the name uncultured organism. RNAcentral's name for it is "16S ribosomal RNA". It matches the Rfam family "Bacterial small subunit ribosomal RNA". The record is from RNAcentral.